Molecule: long non-coding RNA, 752 nt
Organism: Dermacentor albipictus
Lineage: Eukaryota; Metazoa; Arthropoda; Arachnida; Ixodida; Ixodidae
Source: RefSeq, a predicted model, not a curated record
ACGUUGGUUCUGGUAAAUGCAGUAAUUUGAGUUAUAUUUUAGAAGUGCCUAGACAAAAUGUGCUCCUUGUCGUGUGCAGUAACCAUCGCAAACCCUCCGGACUCGUGUAACGCCGUUAGUUCGCCGUGUGUUUCGUGCGAUCUAUCAGUGUCGACAGUGAGUGUCUUACUACAGCGCCCGUCCAGCUGCCUUUGUUCUGCCCACGACCGGCUUGGUUCUGCCGAGCUGCCUGCCCGCGCUCUCGUGAAAAGUCUGGUACUGGAGCUUCGAAUCGUAGUGUUGAAGGUUCGAAUCGAAUCGAAUCGUAGGCUGUUGAAGGUUGUGCUUUUGUGGAGCUGGAGUUCAUCGGAAGUUCUACAGUGCUUGCGCCAGAAAGACGUCGGUGCCUCGGUACCUUUGAGACGAAGGAGCGUUGGCCAAGUCUUUUUAAAAGGCUAUGCGGAUUCUGGAGGCAUCCCUGCAUCGAGCAGGAACCUGCUGCACUGCUGGAAGCUGGACAGCACGACAAUAAAGCACGUGAUCUGUGCGCUUUCUCAAAGGUAGACAUCGGCGACGGUGUAUAUGUUGAAAAGGGCCUGCUGAAGAGGCUGCGCCUGGAUGCUAACAACUCGGGCUUUCAGUUUGCGGGGGGCCUCCUUAAGGCUCCUUUUACAAAAGAGGUUGAAGGGAGGCGCUACACAUGGAUGCGCAGCGAUUGUUUGUGACAGCGUCACUGCUGGCAGGCCUGGCCUGCCUUUUCGCUUUGUUCUGGG